RNAcentral lists this ribosomal RNA (253 nucleotides) under uncultured bacterium. RNAcentral describes it as "partial 16S ribosomal RNA". It matches the Rfam family "Archaeal small subunit ribosomal RNA", at positions 474 to 727 of the family's 1478-position model. The record is from RNAcentral.
UACCAGCACCCCGAGUGGUCGGGACGUUUAUUGGGCCUAAAGCAUCCGUAGCCGGUUCUACAAGUCUUCCGUUAAAUCCAACUGCUUAACAGGUGGGCUGCGGAAGAUACUAUAGAGCUAGGAGGCGGGAGAGGCAAGCGGUACUCGAUGGGUAGGGGUAAAAUCCGUUGAUCCAUUGAAGACCACAAGUGGCGAAGGCGGCUUGCCAGAACGCGCUCGACGGUGAGGGAUGAAAGCUGGGGGAGCAAACCGG